RNAcentral lists this ribosomal RNA (414 nucleotides) under uncultured microorganism. Its description in RNAcentral is "bacterial SSU rRNA". It matches the Rfam family "Archaeal small subunit ribosomal RNA", at positions 459 to 872 of the family's 1478-position model. The record is from RNAcentral.
CAGCAGCCGCGGUAAUACCGGCGGCCCGAGUGGCGGUCACUAUUAUUGGGCUUAAAGCGUCCGUAGCCGGGUUGGGAAGUCCUCCGGGAAAUCUGGCCGCUUAACGGUCAGAAUGCCGGAGGAUACUCCCAGCCUAGGGAGCGGGGGAGGCCGAGGGUAUUCCCGGAGUAGGGGUGAAAUCCUAUAAUCCCGGGAGGACCACCUGUGGCGAAGGCGCUCGGCUGGAACGCGUCCGACGGUGAGGGACGAAGGCCAGGGGAGCAAACCGGAUUAGAUACCCGGGUAGUCCUGGCUGUAAACGAUGCGGACUUUGUGUCGGACAAGCUAUGAGCUUGUCCGGUGCCGGAGGGAAACCGUUAAGUCCGCCGCCUGGGGAGUACGGCCGCAAGGCUGAAACUUAAAGGAAAUGGCGGG